This 3005-nucleotide long non-coding RNA is filed under the name Sus scrofa (pig). RNAcentral describes it as "lncRNA (ENSSSCG00000055098.1)". Lineage: Eukaryota; Metazoa; Chordata; Mammalia; Artiodactyla; Suidae. The record is from RNAcentral.
CAGUGUUGCUUUGGGCAGCAAAGAACUCUCUGGCUGUAACAAAAUGCAAAUAAGAAUCCAAAGAUAAAAGUGAGAUGAUUAACUUUUUUUUUUUUUUUUUUUUAACCUCUGGCACUGUUGGUCUUUCCUCCUGCUGGUCUUGAAAACAAAAAUUGAUCUCAUUUACACAAGCAGGGUUAGCAUAGACUACUACUAGCUACUAAAAAGCAAGAUACUUCAUAAAAAUUUCGCCAAGACUGAUAAAUAAAAGAUGAAAUAAUCAAGGUUAGUAGAAAAUUCCACUCCUUAAAGUUAAGUUGUAUUCAUGAGAGUUUGAAAAUAUUUGAAAACAUUGAAACCAACUCAUCUGUUAUUUACCGUUGAGUACAAAUUUACAUAGACAUUGUUCAAUCUCUAUGCAUAACACGAGGUCAGUGUAUUUUUUCCCAAUUGAUUCUGAAAACAGUGUUUAUUUUAAACAUGUUAGCAUUUUUUCAUUCUCACGUGCUUGUUUUUCUUAACACUAAAAACAUUGUCCAGUUUUCACAGCAAAAAGCCACAAGACUAUUUUAAGUACUAGGCUAUUUUUGAGAAGCCCCUUAAUUAUGUGGUUAAAACACUUUUAUUGCUUAUGGAAUAUUUCUAAGUUAUGGUUACGGUCAUUUUUUUCUCUUGGUCAGACCUCAAGAUAUGUGAUACAGGAAUUUGUUUCCCUAAAACUCUAUAUUUACAAUUUACCUUGGUUUGUCUGUUUAAUAAGGUUUUCCAUAAAGUCUAACUCAUUUUUCUUUACAAUCAACAUUGUGAGCCCACUGAUGACAUUUGGAUUUUUUUUUUCCCCUCAGUCCAUUCUAACAUGGGUGUUCUUAUCAGUUAUUUUCUUCACAAAACUAUCAAUGACUUUUGCAGUUUUUAUUUUCAACUGCCUUACUCAUUUCUUUUUUUUUUUUUUUUCCUUACUCAUUUCUUGAAGGGAUAUCUUGAUGCUUCUGGUGCUUGUUAGUGAGCUUUGUAAAGCAAGAAAAACUAAUGAUGAAAUUAUGUAAUAAUCAGUGUGUUAAAUUUGAAUCAGUAUCUCUUGAUAAUUAGGCUUUGGGGGUUCUAGAAUUUGAGGAAGAACAAUCCACUGGAUUCUUUCUUCGUCUACAGGAGCAGACAAAAUACAAGUCAUGUGUGUAUACUUAACUUUUUGACCAGAAACUGCUUGACCUCUGUUACUGCCUCUGUUCUCCUGGACCUGGGCUUCUCCUGUCACAGACCUGCAAGAAGUUGCGCUUUAACAAAAAAGCAGAUUCUUUAUCUGGUUAUGCCCUUUCCCCAUGUCAUUUGGACCCAACUCUUUCUGCCACCUCACCCAGGUAUCCCAGAAGGAUAUUUAUGGGAAAGUGAGACCCAUGCAGUAGUAUUUUAAAAACCACAUUGUGCUAUUUUUUAAAAGGGGCUUUUCGGGGGGCACAGUCUUUAAGGCAUUAGCCUACUGGAGCCUCUUUUGCCUGGCAAGGCAAUAAAAGCUGUCUUUUUCUCUUUCACCCCCCCCCAAAAAAGGUGGGGGCUUUUCUUUUCCUAGCGGUAUUAUUUUUCAAAUUUAUUUUUAAAUGAUACCAACAGUAAGACUUGAAAUUAUAAUUACUUUUACAGAUUGUUAUUUCCAAUAAGCAAAAAAAGUUACAGCAAAAUUUUUGAACUUUUUUUGUGUUUCUUUUUUAAAUGCUGUACUAUGUUUAAAAUGACAUUUUGUUGUUGUUUGCAACCACUUGCAAAUAUUCCAGAUUUCUUCCUAGGUCAUAAAACCAAUUUACUUUGAAAUGGCAAUUUUAUGUGUCUUACUACAUGUCCCGCUUGUAUAGAGAAGAAAUAAUUUGUUGUUGUUGUUGUUGUUUUGUUUUUGUUUUUGUUUUUAGAGCCUCACCCACAGCAUAUGGAGGUUUCCAGGAUAGGGGUUGAAUCAGAGCUAUAGCCUCCAGCCUAUACCACAGUUUGCAGCAAUGGAGAAUCCUUAACCCACUGAGAGAGGCCAGGGAUCUAACCUGAAUCCUCAUAGAUGCUAGUCAGAUUUGUUUCCACUGAUCCUCAACAGGAACUCUGAGAAGAAAUAUUUUUUCAGUGGUUAAUGCAUUCUUUUUUCCGAAGAUCAAUGAAAGGAAAAAAAUAAAUUAGAAGAUUUAGUUUAGCUACUUACCAGCUGCAUGAAUUUUGGCAAAUCAAUCUGUCUAAGCCUCUAAAAUAGGGGAAAUGAUAUAUCUUACAGUGUUUAUGAUAACAACGUGGACAUCUUUUGUUAAAUUCCCAGCAGUCUUUUUUCCCUCAGGGAACUUAACUUCUCUACUCCAUACAGUUCUGAUAUAAUGGUUAAUUCCCAGCAGCACACCAAUCUCAGGACCACAAGUUUAACAAAUGACAACUUAGCCAAUCAAAAUACCUCAAUCUUCUCUCCACUGUAAUUGGUCCCAGAGAGGGGCACAUGACCCACAAAGGCCAAUCAGAGUCCUUCUUUGAGCUUUGCUUUGUGAAGACACAAGGAGAAUCUCUCCUUCUCUAAGAUAACAAACACCAAGAAAGAAGAAGCCAAAACUAAGUGACUUUGAGUUAUCAGAGAGAAAAGCUGACCUUAGAAUUAAACAAGUAGGCAUGUUAAUCCUGCCAUGUUAAAAGUCAUACCUACUCCUGAGGUUUUCAUUUAAGCCCUUACCCUCCAAAUAAAGAUCUCCCUUAAAUGCAUACAGUAGUUCAAGAUAGUUUUCAUCAUUUGCAACUGAAAGAGUUCUGACUAACAUAGAGGAUUAAGUAAGACAAACUAUGCAAAGUAUAAAGAUAUGUACUGGAAUUCCUGUCUUGGCUCAGUGGCUAACAAACCCAACCAGCAUCCAUGAGAAUGUGGACCUGAUCCCUGGCCUCACUCAGUGAGUUAAGGAUCCAGCAUUACCAUGAGCUGUGGUGUAGAUUUCAGGCAUGGCUCAGAUCUGGUGUUGCUGUGGCUGUGACAUAGGCCGGCAGCUGUAGCUAGCCUGGGAACUUCCAUGUGCCAC